UUCUCCAGUUCGGCCACCGCACUCCGGCGUCGAUUCCGGCCGCCCUCGUCCUCCUCCGGACAAACCGAGCACACCUCCGGUUUCCCUGCAUUCAGGCGCAUCCCCGACGCUACCUUGCUCGACCCGGUUCGCCCCGAUUCGCCAGGAUCGUGGUCGUCCAGAAUCCUCUCCGCGUACCCAAGUUCAUCCCGUCACUGUUUGGUUCAACUUGCUCCACGUCCUCCUUCAUACAAGGCACUAACAACAGCGCAGUGAUCUCGGGCAUCCAUGCUUCAGUUUACGUGGAGGCUUUCCGUAUUCAAAACCACCAGGCAGCCUAGUUGAUCCGUUGAUGGGCCUAGCCCAGUUCUAUCCGGCGCAGCUCGCUCCCCACGCGGGCCGAAAUUACCCGGCGCCGAUGCACAGCAGAUCCGGCCCAGGACAUUGCAG
Lolium rigidum is the source of this 429-nucleotide long non-coding RNA. RefSeq lists it as uncharacterized. NCBI's taxonomy places the organism in Eukaryota, Viridiplantae, Streptophyta, Magnoliopsida, Poales, Poaceae. The record is from RefSeq and is a predicted model, not a curated record. The transcript is spliced from 3 exons.